UACGAAGGGGGGCUAGCGUUGUUCGGAAAUUACUGGGCGUAAAGCGCACGUAGGCGGAUAUUUUAAGUCAGGGGGUGAAAAUCCCAGAGCUCAACUCUGGAACUGCCUUUUGAUACUGGGUAUCUAGAGUAUGGAAGAGGUGAGUGGAAAUUCCGAGUGUAGAGGUGAAAAUUCGUAGAUAUUCGGAGGAACACCAGUGGCGAAGGGCGGCUCACUGGUCCAUUACUGACGCUGAGGUGCGAAAAGCGUGGGGGAGCAAACAGG
RNAcentral lists this ribosomal RNA (264 nucleotides) under uncultured bacterium. Its description in RNAcentral is "partial 16S ribosomal RNA". It matches the Rfam family "Bacterial small subunit ribosomal RNA", at positions 524 to 776 of the family's 1533-position model. The record is from RNAcentral.